AUAUCACGUAUCCAAUCACUCUCAUUGUAUUCUUGGUCUGCAUAGUCGGAGUCGGAGACUCCAUCCCUUCAUCACCGAUUCGCCGUUGUCAUCAUACUGCUACCACCCAUCCCAUUCUAACUGUUACAAGUUGCAGCGAUCUUCACGCCUCCAUCAGUCGUUAUCAUACUACUUCUUUCGCUCUUUCUACUAAGAGUCCUCCAGUUUUGUUCCUUCGGAUCACACAGUGGUAUCGUGGUAUGCGCUUCUCCUGUUAGAACGAUUGUCAAGUGCAGAAAAAAUGUUAAAUCUAUUAAUAUCUUCAUCAAGCUACGUCACCCAAACCCUAAACCCCUUUCUUAUUAAACCUGCAUCGGCUUUCUCCAUCUAUAGUCAAAUUCAUAAAUCUGACAUCAAAGAAAGCCAGUCUGAAGUGUCAAUACUCCGACCAACAACAUUGAUCUCAUGUUUCAUCUUAUUCUCAAGCUAGAAAGCUUCCAUUUGUGUAUGAAGGCUGCUCUUACAGUGGAGCCUCGCCCACCAGUUUGCCACAUUAGAUGUAUGUUUAUAUCCACGUUUUCAGACCCUGAGUGGACCAAUCUUUGCUACACUGCUAAGUGCUAAAACCAACAAUCAUCUUCACAGUGAGCGUUCUAUAAUUCGAACUUCAUAGGAGCCACUGAAUUCAACAACAUUGGGGUAUACUCCCUAAUACAAGAUAUUUUAUUGCUCAUUAUUAUUAUACCAAAUUCUUUGGUAGAUUAGAUGGUUAAAAUGCUAAAGGUAUAAUGAAACACCUGCUCUUGGUAAGCCAAAUGCCUGCCAUCUGGUAAGAGUAUACUUUUUGUAUUUUAAGUAUUUGAUCUUGCAUUUGAUCCUGGAAUUAGACAAUAUGAUCUUGAUAAUGUGAACCUUUGGAAAAACUAUGGAAUUUGAUGGAUAAACAGAGCCUCUCUUGAUUUUGUAGGGUUUAGGCAUGGAUUCAGCCCCUGAUCUUAUUACAGAACAGGAUGGAAGCUUUAUGAUUGGUGGCGACACUGCAAUCUAGCGAAUGAUAGCUCCUGUUUUUAUUUGUCAGAAUAAAAAUGUAGUGCCUGGGGCAGUUGAUGGGCAUGAGAAUCCAAUGGUAGACGAGUUCUUUAAAAUCUGCUAUCAAUUAUCAAAUCUGCUCGAACGAAUUUGUGAGCACCAGAAGAAGCAAAGUGGAGACACUGAAGACAUUACCAUGGAUUAUAAAUAUGAUGGACCAUCUACGCUCUUGGUUGAGCUCAGAUAUCUGCACGGGAGAACUUGUAGCUUGCUCUCUUCCUCGCAAGUGUUUCUUGUUAAGAUAGUAGAAACUACAAAAGGAAUCAAAAAUCAACAAGACUGGGGCUAACCAAUCAUGGAACUUCAUGACAGCUAGAUUUGUAAUUGGUGUUGGAUCUUUGUAUUUCCUAGGCCACCGUUGGCUGAGUGGCUUAGGAGUUUUCAUAGGGGGUGACUCACUUGGUAAAAAAGUGGUCAUCAUCCAAGUUUUAUAAAGAGGCAACACUUUUUAACAAGUCAAAGGAUUUUACAACAUCGGUAAUCACAUACGCCACUCUCAUUAACUCAAAAGUUAAACUUGUGGAAUCCUCAAUUCAGGAGCUUGACGCUGCUUUAUGUAGCGUGGUGUCACGGACAAAUUUUUUGGAAGUCUCCGGGACCAUGUAGAAAAUGUUGGAAAAAUAAAGAAUACACGAAGGAAUAGGGAUCCAUAUCCCACUUGAUGAUUUACUCAAGAUUUUAUGAGAUUGAGAGAAGAAGUAGGAUUCAAGGUACGUUGACAAAUAAAAGCACCCCUUACUCGAAGAGAUACUUUGGAGAAAAAGAAAAGACACGAAGUAGCUCCGUGACAAGAUCGGAACAUAUGUAUAAAAGACUUGACAAGGAUGUUAAGGGUUUAAGUGGAGGAGGGUGUCAUGGACAAAGUUUUUGGAAAGUCUCUGGGACCGUUUAGAAAAUGUUGGAACAAUAAAGAAUACAUGAGGAGUCUCUGAAAUAAUCAAGAGGACACUAUACGAAACUAGAAUCACUUGGAAGACUCAAGAAGGAUCUAGAAAAUGCUAUAUCAUGCAAGAAUAAGUUGGAUAAUAUCAUAACAUCCUAGAGAUAUCUAGAACAUUAUAGAAUAGUGUAUCAUAAUAUGGAUUCAUGUAAAGAUAAUGUGGAUAUUGAUAGAACACUCUAGAUCAGUCGAGAAUAUAUGGGACCUAGAAACUUCCCAUGAGGAGAUGUAAUGUCCCUAUAAAUAGGAAAGAGGUCUUAUUUGUAGAGACCAUCGAGAAGUCGUUGUGAUCUCUUGAGUUCCUUAUAAUACAAGAACUCUUUGUAUUCUUGAAGUGCUAGUCUCUUGCUUUCCGGUUUCGUUAAUACAUUUAAGAUCGUUGAAGUAGCCUGACUUAGUUGAAGAAAAACUGAGUGGCACACGAGAUAGACUAGUAGUAAGAUUCAUCCCGUGAUAGUUGGUUCUGAUGGAGACUACUUGAAAAAUGAAUGCGCAAGAAACAAUCUAAGGAAAGUGUUGCAAGAGACUUUGUCGCAUACCGAUGCAUGUGCCAAUUGUGUUGAACUAGGAAAAACGGAGGUGAUGAACAAGUAGGAAUCCAUGUGAAGAGGUAUUUUAUCUGUUUUUUUCUUUACACCUUAAUUUACUAACUAGUGGUCAAAUUAGUGGUGGUCUAAUUUCUGAGAGUAAGCUUCCAUGGGAUGUGUUUUAACUUUUAUAGAUUCAUAAAGAUUUUGGGAUUAUUAUAUAUAUUUUUGGUUUGUUGUUGGCGUUGUUUUGGCAUAUUUGUUUCAUUCAAUUCCCUGUUUUCUUAUUUAUCUUUUUUACUUUUAGUUUAUUUCAGAAGCAAAUGUUAAUUUAGCUCUAUGUUUUGUGGCCUUUUGAUGCAAUACUAUUUUGAGGAAUUGAGGGUCUUUGCUAGAUCAAGAAACAAAUUUCUUCAAUUAGGGAAUAGCGCAGAUGGAUUAAUCAUGCGGUUCCGCAGCGUCCUCCAACUCGUUGUCCGCGCCCCUUCACUUUGUUUGCUAUUUACUCAAUUACAAACAUUUCUGGAACAUCUCUAACAGAGGACUUAUGCAAUUAGGAAAUUCAACAAGAUUGUCUAUAAUCAAAUCAUUUUGGGUCUUUUUAGAUGGAAAUACUGCAAUUUUUGUUACAAGUGUUUGUGUUUGUUCAAUGUGGUUGAAUGAAUGAGCUGAUGAAUUAUCGGA
Molecule: long non-coding RNA, 3219 nt
Organism: Lactuca sativa (garden lettuce)
Lineage: Eukaryota; Viridiplantae; Streptophyta; Magnoliopsida; Asterales; Asteraceae
Source: RefSeq, a predicted model, not a curated record